AUACCUUUCUCGGCCUUUUGGCUAAGAUCAAGUGUAGUAUCUGUUCUUAUCAGUUUAAUAUCUGAUAUGUGGAUCAUCGGUCCACACGGUAUUAAAUUACUUUUUUAAAGGGGAGAAUCCAACACAGUAGCUUGCUACUGGGAUUUUCAUGUGUCGCCCAAGUGUUGCACUAUAGCAUGGGCCUGGCACACCCUAU
Non-coding RNA from Glycine soja, 196 nucleotides. The record is from Rfam. Lineage: Eukaryota; Viridiplantae; Streptophyta; Magnoliopsida; Fabales; Fabaceae.